GAGGGUAUAGCUCAGUGGUAGAGCUCAUGCUUAGCAUGCAUGAAGUCCUGGGUUCAAUCCCCAGUACCUCCA
RNAcentral lists this transfer RNA (72 nucleotides) under Camelus bactrianus (Bactrian camel). It matches the Rfam family "tRNA". From Rfam's summary of the family: Transfer RNA (tRNA) molecules are approximately 80 nucleotides in length. Lineage: Eukaryota; Metazoa; Chordata; Mammalia; Artiodactyla; Camelidae. RNAcentral also lists the same sequence under 3 other names. The record is from Rfam by way of RNAcentral.